Molecule: ribosomal RNA, 253 nt
Filed under: uncultured bacterium
Lineage: Bacteria
Description: partial 16S ribosomal RNA
Rfam family: Bacterial small subunit ribosomal RNA
Source: RNAcentral
UACGUAGGGCGCAAGCGUUGUCCGGAAUUAUUGGGCGUAAAGAGCUCGUAGGCGGCUUGUCACGUCGGGUGUGAAAGCCCGGGGCUUAACCCCGGGUCUGCAUUCGAUACGGGCUAGCUAGAGUGUGGUAGGGGAGAUCGGAAUUCCUGGUGUAGCGGCGAAAUGCGCAGAUAUCAGGAGGAACACCGGUGGCGAAGGCGGCCUGCUGGGACAUGGCUGACGCUGAGGCGCGACAGCGUGGGGAGCAAACAGG